Molecule: ribosomal RNA, 253 nt
Filed under: uncultured bacterium
Lineage: Bacteria
Description: partial 16S ribosomal RNA
Rfam family: Bacterial small subunit ribosomal RNA
Source: RNAcentral
UACGAAGGGGGCUAGCGUUGCUCGGAAUCACUGGGCGUAAAGCGCACGUAGGCGGAUUGCUAAGUCAGGGGCGAAAUCCUGGAGCUCAACUCCAGAACUGCCUUUGAUACUGGCGAUCUUGAGUCCGGGAGAGGUGAGUGGAACUGCGAGUGUAGAGGUGAAAUUCGUAGAUAUUCGCAAGAACACCAGUGGCGAAGGCGGCUCACUGGCCCGGUACUGACGCUGAGGUGCGAAAGCGUGGGGAGCAAACAGG